This is a long non-coding RNA of Triticum aestivum (bread wheat), 3366 nucleotides long. RefSeq lists it as uncharacterized. The record is from RefSeq and is a predicted model, not a curated record. The transcript has 3 exons. NCBI's taxonomy places the organism in Eukaryota, Viridiplantae, Streptophyta, Magnoliopsida, Poales, Poaceae.
AACUGCCUCCUCGAUUCCGCUGAUAGCUCCCUAAUUUUCGGGCCGAUUCUGCCUUCCCGAUACUUCUUUCUCUCCCCAGAUCGAGUAAAACGGCGCCGCCGCUCCUUCCUUCUCCUCCUCCUGUGCACUUCCUCCCGAUCCACCCCGCCUCCGGUCGUCGCCCGCGCUCCUGCAAGCCGCCGCCGACCUCCUCGGCCGAUCAACCGCGCCCAACGCCCUCCUUUGUUUUCUUUCCCUCUCCUCACUAAUUUCUCUCUGUUCCCAAACUACAGGACGCAAUGGCCAUCGGAGGCAGGGGACGCGGCUGCGAUGGCUCCGAGCUCGGCGGCGUGGAAGCCAUUGGAGGCGCUGGCGAGGCCAAGGUAGGUGAGCCUGGCAGCGGCGGUCUGGUGCAUUGAGCGCAGGUAGGACUUCCUCAUGAGUUGUUUUCCUCCAACGCCGGGGUGUGGAUCUACGUGCGGGUUGCAGCCGCCGCCACCGCCUCGAUCCCGACCCCCUUCCCCCCGCUUCCCGGGGACAGACCCCGUCGCCUUCUCCCUUCUUCCUCGGACCCCAAGACGUCCUGCUGUCAUCUCCACCCCGUCCCAGUCUUCAUCCGACCAUCAGAUUUUGAAGGAAGGAGAGAAGUCUGCUAAGCCACCCCCUUAGGAAGCGGAUGGACUAGCUCGACGCGGUCUUUUCCUGCCCAUUCUGCAAUCAUGGGAGCAGCAUUGAAUGCCGGAUUCAUAUGCACAACCUCACCCCAUCAUUGUGCGCCCAGUCUGUCCGCUCACGCAUUCACAUUGAGGAAGAUGAUGAGUACCUCGGCCAUGCCGCCGUCCUCUCCCCAUCGUGGCGCGCCCCCGCUCGUCAUCCGUCUGCAGCUUUUCCAGUCCCGGCCGCCGGAGAGUCUCGCUGCUGGGAACAAGCACCUUGCAAUCGUGGUGUGCUUCUCCGUUGGUGCUGUCGUAUAGACAUCUUGCAAGUAAGUGACCUUCAAUCCAAAUAUCUUUCUCUGCACUUGAUUUCAGUUGCUUUCUUACGGUCUCCUGAAUUACUUGGCAUGUGUCAGCCAUUCUGAAUAGGGAACAUUCUUACGGGACAUCAUGUUCACUUGGGAUACUUACUGGAUUAAGGAAGAAAUUUUGAAAUGCUUCUGAAACAAUAUCGUUUCAUUAUUUGAGGACUUUGGGUAGUUCAGCAUGUUCGAUUGAGCAUAAUUAAGAAGCUUCAUUUGUAAUUAUAUAUAAAAAAUUGUAAAAUGAUCUGUAAAAGUUGAACUUCUCACCAAAAUUAUAUCACUGAAGUUAAAUCAAGUGAAAAAAUAGUGUGCUGCAGUGCAGUGAAAAAAAUAGUGUGCUGCAGUGCAGUUACUUGCAGCUGGGAUUGAUCUGAUGAAGAAAUUAUUCUGUUAAAAACCUGGCAGAUAGUUUUUCUGCUGGCAAUAUGAUUACACUUGUUUGGAUGUGCUUGUUUUGGAUUAAAUGAUAGAAUGGGUGUUGUACUGUUGUUCUUGAUUUUUUCACUUAUUUAGUAGUGUUUGACGGGCAUUCUGAUCAUCUUUUGAGACCACUUUCAAGAUGGUACCUGAUUGAAAAGCUCGGACUUUCCUGUUAGCAAGAGUAUUUUAUAUCUGACCAUGAAAAUCUGUAAUGCUAUUGUUCCUACAGAUUCAAGAACUCAGAUUUAGUAACAGAUAGAUUUUUAUCAUGCCUCGCUAUGAAAUCAUGUUUGGUUGCAGUGCAAAGGUCAAUUGAGAAUGUGAGAUCCUUUGUGAAGAACUGUAGAUGCUUGCUUGUCGACUGCCUAGAGAUUUUGUUUCUGAAUUUUUUUGUGUUGAUCGCAGGAUGUUGCUGAUAUAUGGUCGUGUUUGUUCAAAAAAGUCAUGAGGUGUUACUGAUCAGGAUAUUAAUAUAUCCCAAUCUCAUCACAGGAUUUGUUCACUGGGUUUCUGAAACUAUAUAGCAUUUUAUUAGUUAUGGGUUGGGGCAGUCUUCCUUUUUUCCUCUUGAGAAAACAUUGAAGCUUAAUGUCUUGAUGCAUUUGAAAAAGAGAAUGGCAAAACAAAACAGUUUACUUAAGGGUUACAUGAGUGCCUCUGAAUUUUAAAAAAAUGUCAGCAAUAGUUUCCUGUUUUGACUAAGAUUCUUUAUUUUCUUGGGAGCAAGCAUUUUCUGUAAUUCACACCACAACAUGACGGCAUGUGCAUAGAAAAAACCAUCAUUUCGGUAAUCGGAAUAUUAGCUUCGGUAGCCUCAUUUGCAAUUGUGUAUGUCUGUCAGGUUGAUGCCGAGGUAGCUAGCAAAGAUGCAUGAUGCAUAUAUUAUUCAGUACUGUUCUUACUGACGUUUUUCUUUCUGAUGAUAAACCACGGGGAUAAAUUGGCAAUGUAUCUCUUCACCUUCCAGAAUGAGAGCUUCACAGAGGUCCUCCUGGUGUGGGAGAUCAUGAGAGCCUAGAAAUGCAAAUGAGGCUGGAAGGAUUAUUUCGUUGGUGUCCGAGAGCGAAAUAUAUUGUGUAGCAAAGUUAGCCAUGGACCCUGUGUGGGAGCUUUGGGAUGAUGAUCUUGCCGCUACGCUGGUCAUGUGUCAAGCGUACGCCUUUUACUUUUAAUACACGGCAUUUUUGAGGUGCAGGAUUUCUCCAACAGCACUAUACAUAGGGCCUUCCAGACUAUCUCAUAGAUUUUAUCCUGUAAAGUCGUCUGAGUUGUUUCAUAUUGUCGAGUGUGAAUGAAUUGCAGGGGAUGCCACUUCUGCUGGUUGGGAUGUUGAUGGCGUGUGUGCUUUUUGCCGCUGCUAGCAUCUAGAUCGGUAGUAUAGUGCACAACUGCAUUAGCUUGGGAUGUAUGUGCUUCAAUAUUUUUUUCCUGUUGGGCUUUAAUAUUCUACUAAAUUUCUGAUCGAUAAAAAUGUUUGUGGCUACUAUAGUACUACCUCCUUUCCAAAAUAGAUGACUCAACUUUUUACAACUUUAGUACAAAGCUGAGUCAGCUAUUUUGGAACGGAGGGAGUAAAUGUGAAAUAUACAAACAUUUAUUCCUUGUUUUCUUAUAUCGUCUAAUGUGUUUGGCACUUUUUCUUUCAGAUUUACCUCUCAUUGUACAACAGGUGCAAGGUCUCAACAUGUUCAAGGCUACUUCCAGCUCUUCUUUUUUCAUUUUCAUCUUAUUUUUGUUCAUGCAUUUUUGUACCAUACAAGGACUUGAGGUGAUUCGUUGGUUGUAGGGCAUGGGGAGCUUCACAAUUAUGUUAGCUCUAUACUGAAUGUAUCAAAACAUUGUUAUGGUUACUUCUUAUUGUUUGGUUACACAAAGUCAUGGCAGCACAAGUUGUAUGUAUAUCUUGAGAUACAUGAUGAUGCGUCUUUGUGAGAUUAAUUGUGAAC